This 481-nucleotide ribosomal RNA is filed under the name uncultured bacterium. Its description in RNAcentral is "partial 16S ribosomal RNA". It matches the Rfam family "Bacterial small subunit ribosomal RNA", at positions 28 to 507 of the family's 1533-position model. The record is from RNAcentral.
GAUGAACGCUGGCGGCGUGCUUAACACAUGCAAGUCGAACGAAGCAUUUGCGACAGAUUUUUUCGGAAUGAAGUUGCUUAUGACUGAGUGGCGGACGGGUGAGUAACGCGUGGGUAACCUGCCUGGUACGGGGGGAUGGAAGCGGGAAACGGCGGGAAAUACCGCAAAAGCGCACAAGGUGGAAGGAAAGGGGGGGAAAAACUCCGGUGGUAUAAGAUGGACCCGCGUCUGAUUAGCUAGUGGGUGAGAUAACAGCCCACCAAGGCGACGAUCAGUAGCCGACCUGAGAGGGUGACCGGCCACAUUGGGACUGAGACACGGCCCAGACUCCUACGGGAGGCAGCAGUGGGGAAUAUUGCACAAUGGAGGAAACUCUGAUGCAGCGACGCCGCGUGAGUGAAGAAGUAAUUCGUUAUGUAAAGCUCUAUCAGCAGGGAAGAUAGUGACGGUACCUGACUAAGAAGCUCCGGCUAAAUACGUG